Mastomys coucha (southern multimammate mouse) is the source of this 2451-nucleotide long non-coding RNA. RefSeq lists it as uncharacterized. The record is from RefSeq and is a predicted model, not a curated record. The transcript is spliced from 6 exons. Lineage: Eukaryota; Metazoa; Chordata; Mammalia; Rodentia; Muridae.
ACCAUUUGGUUUUGCAAUUAAAAACAGGUUUGGCUUCCCUCUGCAUCAGUAAGACAACGUCAAAGCAACAUUCGUCCUGAAAAUUUUCCCUUGUGAAUUCAAAUGAACUGGGAAAAAUUCUAGUUACAAACUAGAAGGCAGACCCUGCAAAAGAGACACGCAUGCUGAAGUUGCUGGCUAUGAACCCACAAGGAAAAGGAGCCGUCACUCAGGCCAAACAGUUCCAAGAAUGUUGCCUGUGUUGACUCAUCUAAUCCCCAUUACAUUUCAAUGAGGGCCAUCAAGAACAAAUGAGAGAGUGGGUGCCAAGCACAGUCCAGAGGUAGCAGAGGACUGAAGAUGUCAUUGCAAGUCUUGUGUCAUUACAAUGGUAUGGGGGAUUGUUUUCAAUGUCCACCCAAAGAUAAAAGGUCUUGCUUCUUAGGAUCUAGUAUAGUUUGAACAUGAAGUGUUCUGUGUGUUCAUGUAUGUAGUAGCAAGCUACUUGGUGGCGUGCUUUUUGUGUUUGGAGAAAGUAAGUAGAUCCUGAAAAAUCUGACCUUAUCAAGAACAUAAAAUCUCUUCUCAAAUUCUAAACAUGGUGGUAUUAUUGAGAGUUGACAAAAAGCAGGAGGUGGGACAUAAUAAGAGGAAGGAGGAUACUUACGCCCCCUUUCCUUUCUUCCUCUCUCUUUCCAUCCUCCCUCUGACUUCCCCACAUUUCCUUCAAUGCAUAAUCCAUAGCAGCUAUGAGGUGAGCCCCACAGGUUCGGUGUCUUACCAGAAGUGCAAAGCACUGCACAUCAAUGAAGCCUCUGCCAACCUGAGACAAAUAUUCCUCUUCCAAAUGGUUAUCUCAGGUGUCUGUAAUAGUGAUCAAUUUUUUUAAAAUUAUCUAAUAUUGGCUCCAUAAUUGUUUUGGCCUAAGACAAGUGUUAGGGAGAAUUUUCUGUUUUGUCCUUUGCCCUACAAGGGCAUUGUGAACAUUUUUCAGACUUCCUUAACUCCAGUUUCCCUCACCUACAUUUGGGAACAUCAGGACUUACCUGGGGAAAUUACUAGAAAAACAUAAGUAUAAACAUAUUUAAAGAACAUGACUCACUGAGCCAAAUAGCUAAUACCUGAAAUACAUUAAAUUGAGCUUGAGUCUUUACAUACAUUAUCCUUACUAAUCUUGAGGAAAUCACUGUACAGUAGGAGGGAUAUGGGUUAUGAUGCCCUUUCAAUGGAGGAAAAAGGAAGCUUGAGUUCAGUGUCAUAUUUAUGGCAUGGGGUCAGUAUUGGAACUCAGACUUCCACUCACAAGACCUGCAUUUUGCUAUUCUGGUAUAUUUUUUAAAUACAUGUGUAAUGAGUGAACAUUCAUAUGUCCCCGUUUGCAUGUAUGGAGUACAUGUAUGGUGUGGUACAUGUGCACAUGUGAGUGCUUGCAUGUGGAGUUUCAAGGCUAAUGCAAGAAACCUUCCUCACCACUCCUCACCCUUACUCUUUGAGGCAACACCUCUCAAUUGGAUUCAGAGCUCACCAGUAAUGGCUAAUCUGGGUCUGCCCUGCCACUGUCUUUGAAGAGUUAGAAUUACAGUCAUAAGUGGAUACCAAAUCAAGCUCCUGAAAGUUUAUGUUCAUACUUUGAAAAGGUUGAUUUAAGUGACUUCUCAUCUCCAUAUCACCCAUUUUCUGUGCUUGCACAUACUUCUGUUACCUAGACAACCAAAUAUCAGAGCAAGAAGAAAAGGGAACGGACAAAAGUGUGUGAACUCGUGGUGUAGGAAACCAGGUCUCCCUGGCAAGAAAAGGCAGUGGUACCUGAAAGAUGAGAAGAAAAGAACAGAACCUUACGAGAAUCCCAUCGUAAUCUUUCUAAGCAGCGGUGCUGAGUAGCACAGUGUAGGUGCAGCUUGGCAAUAUCCAUGAGUUGGGGAAAGGAAACUGAUGUGUUGAGGGACAAAGGCACUUAAUGUUCCAAGCACCAAUUAUCAAAGAGAGUGGACCAUAAAUUGAAUGACAGAAAUAUGCAGAGGCCCUGACAAUAUCCAUCUUCUUUGUGGCCAACCUAUGCAAAUGAGUAGCUCCCCAUGGCUAGGGAAAGAACCACACAUAAGGGGUUAGAGGUUGUAAUGCUUGACAGUCACACAGGGUUGGGAAUAGUGCUGGUUUCUAAGAGCCAGAACAUAGAGCAUUGAGAUAAUAAAUGCCCCAGACUAUAAGGAUGUAUUCAUGAGAUGUUUCUUGAAGGGUUCAUCUGAGGAGGAAAGACUUGCUCGGAACGUAGAUGCCAUGACCCCAUGUGCUGGGGUACUAGACUGAAAAGUUAGGAGAACGUGAGCUAAGCACCAAUGUUCAUCUCUCUCUGCUUCCCAACAGUGGAUGCCACGUGACCAUCUCCCUUGGCUCCUGCAGCCAUGCCUUCCCUGGAUGUACAAGGGACUGUACUUUCAAACUGUGAGACAAAAUAAACCAGUCCUUCUUUGA